AGAGUGAUAGCUCAGUGGUAAAGCACAUGCUUACCUCUGCACGAGGUCCUGGGUUCAACUCCCAGUACCUCCA
This 73-nucleotide transfer RNA is filed under the name Camelus bactrianus (Bactrian camel). It matches the Rfam family "tRNA". Rfam says of the family: Transfer RNA (tRNA) molecules are approximately 80 nucleotides in length. The record is from Rfam by way of RNAcentral. RNAcentral also lists the same sequence under 1 other name. Lineage: Eukaryota; Metazoa; Chordata; Mammalia; Artiodactyla; Camelidae.